RNAcentral lists this ribosomal RNA (363 nucleotides) under uncultured bacterium. Its description in RNAcentral is "SSU rRNA". It matches the Rfam family "Bacterial small subunit ribosomal RNA", at positions 195 to 553 of the family's 1533-position model. The record is from RNAcentral.
GGGGAUCGAAAGACCUUGCGCUUUGGGAGCGGCCGAUGUCUGAUUAGCUAGUUGGUGGGGUAAAGGCCUACCAAGGCGACGAUCAGUAGUUGGUCUGAGAGGACGACCAGCCACACUGGGACUGAGACACGGCCCAGACUCCUACGGGAGGCAGCAGUGGGGAAUUUUGGACAAUGGGCGCAAGCCUGAUCCAGCAAUGCCGCGUGAGUGAAGAAGGCCUUCGGGUUGUAAAGCUCUUUCAGUCGAGAAGAAAAGACUGCAGUGAAUAACUGCAGUUCAUGACGGUAUCGACAGAAGAAGCACCGGCUAACUACGUGCCAGCAGCCGCGGUAAUACGUAGGGUGCGAGCGUUAAUCGGAAUUA